This 253-nucleotide ribosomal RNA is filed under the name uncultured bacterium. Its description in RNAcentral is "partial 16S ribosomal RNA". It matches the Rfam family "Bacterial small subunit ribosomal RNA", at positions 524 to 776 of the family's 1533-position model. The record is from RNAcentral.
UACGUAGGGGGCAAGCGUUGUCCGGAUUUACUGGGCGUAAAGAGCGCGCAGGCGGUCGGAUAAGUCGAAUGUGAAAGCCCCCGGCUCAACUGGGGAGGGUCAUUCGAUACUGUUCGACUCGAAGGCGGGAGAGGGAAGUGGAAUUCCCGGUGUAGUGGUGAAAUGCGUAGAUAUCGGGAGGAACACCAGUGGCGAAGGCGACUUCCUGGCCUGUUCUUGACGCUGAGGCGCGAAAGCUAGGGGAGCAAACGGG